This 308-nucleotide long non-coding RNA is filed under the name Mytilus galloprovincialis (Mediterranean mussel). Lineage: Eukaryota; Metazoa; Mollusca; Bivalvia; Mytilida; Mytilidae. The record is from RNAcentral.
GGGCGAGUUGACAGACCUUUACUCAGUGGGGUUUAAACCCUUUUCGUUAAAUAAAUGAGUUGUAAGACUGAUGGUUCAAUUUGAUUUUACACUUUUUUAAAGUUGGGCGAGUCGGUUACAAGAGUGGGGCGAUUUUUUCAUAAAGUGGCGAUAUAGUGUGGGACGAUUGGCCAGUGGGGCGAGUUGACAUUAUUUGAUAUCUACUCAUCGUGUUUGGGGGUCAUAAAGGGUAUACAUCAUAUAGUAAUAUAUAAAGUAUAUUAUAAUGGUUGUGUUGCGUUCUAAACUAGAUUUUAUGAAUUGUAAAU